This 60-nucleotide transfer RNA is filed under the name Pectinatella magnifica. Its description in RNAcentral is "tRNA-Leu". The record is from RNAcentral. Lineage: Eukaryota; Metazoa; Bryozoa; Phylactolaemata; Pectinatellidae.
AGUGUAGAACACCCUAUGGGACUUAAAAUUCCAUAUACGUACUGAAAGUACGCUAUACUA